UAUAGCUAUAUAUUUCUUACGAUAAAACGCAAACUCAAAUUUUUCAAAUUAAUAGAAGUUAAAAAUGCAUCGAUCAAAAGAACUUCCCUCCGGCAUUUCCAGCCGUGCUCUCUUCCUUUCCAUAUGUUUAUGCCUGCAUCUCGUCCUUCGUAGAAUUUCUUUUCUCAGCCAUCGGCAUCGGGUCUUCACUCACACUGCUGUCUUUUUCUUUGCAGCCCCUGCUAACGCCACAAUCCAAAGAUUUUGAUAUUUCUAUUUUUGUUUUAAUAUCGGGUCUUUCAUAUUUCUGCAACGAUCUUAUGUCGCGAUGACCCGAGUCCUCUCCAUGACGAACUUUAAUAAACAUCUCUUUGUCGCUGUUUGUGUCGUUCAUAGUUUAACCACCGCUCACUCCCCAUGCAUGCAUACA
This is a non-coding RNA of Paramuricea clavata, 409 nucleotides long. NCBI's taxonomy places the organism in Eukaryota, Metazoa, Cnidaria, Anthozoa, Malacalcyonacea, Plexauridae. The record is from the annotation of a GenBank genome assembly.